CACGGCCAGAGCCUCGCGCCCCACGCGGCCCCAGUCGCCGCACACCAGGCGCGCCGCCGCCACCGUCUCGACGUCGUCGCACGCCGACAGGAUCGCCAGAAUCAACUCGUCGGGCAGCGACGACCACGGCCUGGCGGCCUCGCCGUCCAUCGCGUCUCUUGCAACGGCGGGUGCGCGUGCAGGAUAGCGCGCCGGCCUCGUCCGAUGUUGGACAAUGGGCAGGAGCGCCGAAUUUUGUCCUCUACGCGAUCAGGAGAGCCGGCCGUCAGACCGGUGCUCUUUUUUUAAGCCGUGCGGUCACCCCUCAACCUCCUUUUUCCUCUUUCCUCUUUCUUUUUUUUCGCUCUCUGGACAGAAAAAAAAAAGAAUUGCGCCGCUCGGUGCAAGCAUAGGAGCACCGACGCCGGCAAAAAGUCGAGCCGCAGCGCGG
RNAcentral lists this long non-coding RNA (430 nucleotides) under Pandoravirus dulcis. Its description in RNAcentral is "putative ncRNA". The record is from RNAcentral.